Molecule: long non-coding RNA, 4061 nt
Organism: Chiroxiphia lanceolata (lance-tailed manakin)
Lineage: Eukaryota; Metazoa; Chordata; Aves; Passeriformes; Pipridae
Exons: 5
Source: RefSeq, a predicted model, not a curated record
AAAAAAGUGUGUUUUUCUUAAACUUCUUCAACUCUUUUUUUUUUUUUUUUUUUGGUCUCUAACCUUUUGAUACAAGCUGAUAUUUGACUCUUUCCGUGUAGGCUUAGCAGUGUGUUCUCCUGUUGGUUACUGGAGUAUUUCCCAGUCAAAAGAAAACCAAACAUUUUGGUUCUCUACUCUUGGGUCACUUCCUAAGCUUGGAGGUCUGGUUGGUAACAGUCCAGUGCACCAGUUUUACACAGUAACAGGUUUUUGCUUGAAUAACUUCAAGCUGUUCUCUUGGCAUGAUUGCAUUUACUAGCAGCUGAUGAUCCACUGUCAUUCUUACGGCACUAGGAAUUAAAUGCACUGUGUGAACAAUGCCUAGAGUGGGAGGAAAGAGUUGUUGACACUUUGCCUUGCUUCCUGCUGGGCAGUUUGUGCAGUGAUUAGCUCUAAAGGGAUUUUUUUUUUUGCCUGUAAGUUACCUUGGCCUAUAACCUACCUCUAGGUUUGGUGUCAUCUAUGUAGUAGCUUCUUACAAAACACAAAUGCUCCUCAGGCAUGAGGAGGACAUUGGGAAGUACUGUUGGUACAGUGCAGUAUUUAUGACCUUUCUUUAAAAUGCUUAAUGUGAACCUGUUUUUUCAGAGGCUCUUUCAAGGUUCUUGAUGUAAUGUGCAUUACAGUAUAGUUAGACAUCAUUGUAACCUCUCUCAAGGGCAGCUGUGGCUUAAGAAAGCCGUUCUGGUUUUGUUUUUUUCUACAUCUGUCACUUAACUAUGGCUUAAUUGGAACAUAUCAGCUUUUGAUGUAGGCUCAUAGGCUAGAGAACUGUAAUAGUCCAAGCAAACAGUCCAUGAGUUCUGGAGACUUCGUAAAACCACAGAAGUAGAACUGUAGUGGUUUGUCCUCUGAACUCCUCAGUUCGUUUUACAGGCUCCGUUCUGUUUCUCCUGUUAUAUUUUAUAUACUACAUGGAUCUUACUACAAAAUAAAAGUACAAAAGAGGAAAUGCUUCCUCCUGUGUGUUGUCUGCUCCUCCCACCAAGGGCAGGUGGAUGCAGCAGCUGUUUGGAACAGCGCUGCAUUCCUUAUGGCAGUGACUGAGGAAGACACAUGCAGGACUGGGGAGGAUUCCGGUAGGGCUUUAGGAUUUCACACUCCCUAUACUCACUCCUGUUUUCCCUAUGGUGAUGAAUGAACCUUUGGUUUGUUGUAUGGCUGAUCAGCUGCAGAUGAUUUGUGUCUAUAAGGAGAUGUUGUGUGUGCCCAGUAACAUGGAAUUGCCUUCUGCUGCCUCUGCGAGCCCAAGGAGUAAAGGAAGGACACAAAGCAACAGGUAUUUGCAGUGUUCUUCCAUUUGCUUGAGAGGCGUGAGCAAAGACCCUUUCAAAGUAGCAACUGUACUGAGAUGAUGUAUGGGACAUCCCCUUCCUAAAUGCUAAUCAGAUACUGAAAAUUCCUGCUCAUUGGUUUCUGAUGUAGGAAGUAUGUCAAAAGUAAUUUUGAGAGAGAUUAAAAGUAAGCCUUGGAAACAAUUAUUCCAUAAGUUUAUAUAGCUGAACUUUCUAAUUCCUCCAAAAUACUCACUUAGUUUUUGCUCUUGGUCAUGACAAUUUAUGUGUUAAACCCUCAGUUUUUCCUAUGUUGACAACCAGUAAACUAACUAUGCUAGCUUAUGUAGUUCUAUUCAGUUUUUUCACUGUAUCUGGAAACAGUCAACCACUUACGAUUUGCUGCUGGAAAUACUAGAGCUUAUCAAUCAUUAAACUGAUUUUAAUUAAAAGUAGCCCAUCAAGGCUGUUGUGGGAAAAACUCUUUUUUCUUUGUAUUUAUUCAUGGUAUAACACAAACAGUGCUUGUACAUGCUGAUGGAAAUGCAGGGUUAUUAAAAGUAGUUUCAGGGAGUGUUGGUAAAUAAAAACUCCCCGCACAAAAGUGAACAUGAAAAUGUUCUUUGCUUGGCUUGAAACUGAAAUAUGUCGAUAACUUGCUCGUAUUUGUCAGCUUCCCAUGGGAACAAGGAGUUGCUAUGCACUCCCUUCUGCCAGGAUCUUCACAAGUAAUGUUUUGGAUUUGGUGUGUACAAGAUGAGCUCCAGAGGUCUUAGAGCUGAUUUAAUUACUGAGCAGUAUGUUGAUUGACCAGUGUCAGGAAGGAACUGAGGAAGCUUUAGCAGCACAGUAAAGCUGUACUGUAUGUAAGAGAUGAACUCAAGCCUCUCCUGAGGAAUGUCCAGGAAGGAUCCUCCUAACAUUCCCUAGAAUCAGACUGUGCUGCUCCAGACAGUAGGGAUGUACAGAGGGACUGAACAAACUGCUCCUUACAUGAAGGUGAGUGAAUUCUUCUACUGGCACUUCAGAUCAGUUUGGUUUUAUUACUUGAAGACAAUACUGGUUUCUUCAACAAAGUGAACAGACUUUAUUUUGGAGAUGCAGAUUUCACUAAUUCAAUGGUCCAUGUUUUGUACUUGAGCAAAUGAAGUGAUGCAGAACAGAAGCACAUCACAACAGCAGCCACAGCAGCUUUGCAGGAGUGAUAGCAGAAGUGCAGAGAAUGGUUAUUCACCUUCAACUGUUUGCUUUCCCAUCAAGUAAUGUUUUUUUAUUUAUUCCUCCACUUUCAAAGACCGGUUUGCAGACACUGAAGAACUUCAUGGAUUUAUUCAGAAACAUGAGGGCUGCAGUGUCAAUCAAGAAUUCAGGUAGCCAAGUGGAGCAAGCAAAGAGACUAAUUCUAAAAUCAGUUGUCUUGGUAUGUUUGGGUGGAAGCUUGGGUUGAUUCCUAGAGCAGGGUUAUUGGGAAUUAAGCUUUCAUUCACAUCCAUCUGUGUUGGGCAAGAAAUAGCACUUGUACAUCUUCCAGUGCCUUGGGUUGCCUUUAUUCCAGCACUGCUCUGCUUCCUAUGUGUACUUUGUAAAUAACUGAACACAAAACUGGAUGUUUCUUAAGAGAGCUACAUCUCUGUGCAAUUGGUAUAAAAAAGCUACUUCUACAUAAUAAGCACACGGUAUUCAGUGGCCUGUCAGUACUUUGAACACCCUCUCACUACACAACAGACCCACAGCUUGCUCAGAUACUGUUUUUUCUUGACAAAUGGUGUCUUAUAGAUCCUCAAAUAUUAGGUGGCAUUUCCUUGAACUUUGCAUUUACAGGUAGAUUUUUGUAGCUAAGCUAAAUUAGUUGCCUCCUUAAAGUAAAAGGAGAUUAUCUGCUCAUUUGAGUUCUUGAAGCUGUUUUGAUAUUUUUGAUUAAGUAUUAAUGCUGAGGCAAACAUUGAAACAAAAAAUCCCGUUCCAAGGCCCUUUGACCUUUCAGUGCACAUAUCCCAGCUGAAUAAAAGGAGUUAUGCAACCUCUUGCCCUCCCUUGCACCAUCCUUGUGGCAGCUAUAGUAACUGCUUAUGUCGAAAGGUAAUAUUAGAAAAUAUUUAAUAUAUUUUUAGAUUAUAUUUAAUGCAACUUAGCUGAUAAAGAAGAGCCAGUGCUGAGACCAGCUCUCCACAGAUAUUGGGAAAUGUGGCACAAAUUCCAUUUUGAGAACAGCAGAUCUCAUUUUGAGGCCAUGUGUGAAGCUGGGAGUUUCUGAGUGAUGCAAAUUGUAACCAGAUACAGCUGUUGUGAGUAUUGUCUGAGAACCAGAACUGUUGAAUUUGGACUGACAGCACAGUAUGCUGCUACUUUCAAACUGCUUGGGCCCUCAUGUUCAUUAUGAUUCAGGAUGGCAAGUAUUUGUCAGGAAAGAACAAAUGAACUAGAACAAGAAUUCACUUGCAUUGAAUAAAUAUGGCCUAAUUACACCUGGUGAAGCGAUGUCCUUUUGCUCGAGCGGGGAGUUGCCACACUGCUGCAAAGGCAAAACAUGGCCAGGAGAACAGAAAGGGUCAAGCAGAGCCAUGGAGUUCCUGGGACAAGCAGGAGCAGUGUGUGUACUUGUGACCCCAUUCUCUCCAUGUGCACCUUCCUGGGAUGUGGUGGUGGGGUUUGUCUGUGGCGGUAAGUCCGAACCAUUCCCUGUUUGCCAUCACUGCUGACUCAAUAAAUGACACAAUUGAGGUGAGCGUGUGUUUUGUGGAAUUU